UACGAAGGGUGCAAACGUUGCUCGGAAUCACUGGGCGUAAAGCGCACGUAGGCGGAUCUUUAAGUCAGGGGUGAAAUCCCAAGGCUCAACCUUGGAACUGCCUUUGAUACUGGGGAUCUCGAGUCCGGAAGAGGUUGGUGGAACUGCGAGUGUAGAGGUGAAAUUCGUAGAUAUUCGCAAGAACACCAGUGGCGAAGGCGGUUGCCUGGAGCUUUGCUGACGCUGAGGCGCGAAAGCGUGGGGAGCGAUCCGG
This 253-nucleotide ribosomal RNA is filed under the name uncultured bacterium. RNAcentral's name for it is "partial 16S ribosomal RNA". It matches the Rfam family "Bacterial small subunit ribosomal RNA", at positions 524 to 776 of the family's 1533-position model. The record is from RNAcentral.